Molecule: unclassified non-coding RNA, 931 nt
Filed under: Hevea brasiliensis (rubber tree)
Lineage: Eukaryota; Viridiplantae; Streptophyta; Magnoliopsida; Malpighiales; Euphorbiaceae
Source: RNAcentral
AGAUGCGUCAAGUCCUGCUGUUCCUAGUUUCUGGACUGCAUGUCCUUAUUGUUAUCUGAUGUAUGAGUAUCCUUUAGAGUACGUGGAUUGUACUUUGAGGUGUCAAAAGUGCAAGAGGGCAUUUCAGGCUGUAAAGAUUGCCUCGCCACCACCAAUUAUAGAGGGACAAGAAGCUUAUUUCUGUUGUUGGGGAUUUAUGCCUUUAGGAUUUUCCUUGGAGAUCUUUAAGAAAUACAAAGGCAAUAUUUCGAGCUGGACUCCGUUUGCACCCAUGUUUAAUAAACAUGGAGGUGUAAGAAAGCCAUCUGCUCCCAGAGUUUAUAUUGAUGAUUAUGAGGAUGUGUUUCUGGGAUUAUCAGAGUCGAGUGAGGAGUCAGAUGAGGAUUGGAAGGGUGAUAAUAAGAUGAAGAAGGCAAAGAGUGGGAAACGAAAAAGUAAAAGGUUUAGGAGAAAGAAGGGCAAGAUGCAGAAAUCUGACAAGGGAAAGAAUGUUGUAGGGAAUGCUGGUGAUGAUGUGCAAGAUGUUUCAGUGACUCAAGGGGGUGUAGAAGUGCCCAAUGUUACAACAGCUCAAUCAAGCAAGAGAGCUGGUAAUGCCAGAAGGCAAGCUGGAAGGGUUACCAAAGAUGUUGGGAAAUUGGAUUUGAAUGUGGAAUUCAGUAAUGAGGUUGAAGAGCCCCCUGCACCUGGGGUAGGCCAAGGCAAUGGAGCUGGAACAGGGGAGGAUGGGAACAUUGAAGGGAUUGAGUUUUUUGAAGGUCUUGAUGAAUUCCUUAGCAGUCUUCCUAUACUCAAUGCUGUGGGUGAUGAUAAGGUUAAGGCUGCCUAGCAAAGUAAGGCAUUUCUUUUGUUCUAGUUGUAGCUUCCUUUUGUCUUUUGUAUGUUUUAGUAAGGGAUGAAAAGCUACUCAGGCAUUGGCCUUGAUGUUUUC